RNAcentral lists this transfer RNA (73 nucleotides) under Actinoplanes sp. SE50/110. RNAcentral's name for it is "tRNA-Asp (GTC) (tRNA-Asp-GTC-3-1)". It matches the Rfam family "tRNA". Rfam says of the family: Transfer RNA (tRNA) molecules are approximately 80 nucleotides in length. Their secondary structure includes four short double-helical elements and three loops (D, anti-codon, and T loops). The record is from Rfam by way of RNAcentral. Lineage: Bacteria; Bacillati; Actinomycetota; Actinomycetes; Micromonosporales; Micromonosporaceae. RNAcentral also lists the same sequence under 1 other name.
GGAUCGGUAGUGCAGAGGUCGGCACGUCGCCCUGUCAAGGCGGAGGACGCCGGUUCGAAUCCGGCUCGGUCCC